AAUCCCUUAAUCUAACCCUAACUCAUCUCAAUUUAACACAAUUCCUCCUUGAGAUAUCUCUUUUCUUCUUCUUUCUUCAUCUUCAUCUACAUCUCAUUUCCUCCACCAACAACAUCUUCUUCUUCUUCUUCUUGUUAGAAAAAAUAUGGAAUUUUAAUUCUUAGAAAUUAGGGAAUUUUCAGAUUUCAAAUUAGGGAAUUUUCAUGAUUUUGCUCAAAGUUCAAAUUUCAAAUUAGGGAAUUUUAAUUCUUAGAAAUUAGGGAAUUUUCAAAUUAGGUAGAUUUAAUUCUUAGAAAUUAGGGAAUUUCAAUUUAAAAAAAAUAAAAAUAAAAAAGGGACGGUUUUCAAAUUUCGCUCAAAGUUCAGGGAUGGAUAAAAAUUAAAAAAAGGCUCUUACCGGAGCUAAGGCGGCCGGAGGGACGGGUCAAAUUAGUUUUCAAUAGUUCAGGGACGGUUUUCAAAUAAUUUUUCGGAGAGGGACGGUUUUCAAACGAUGUCUAAAGUUCAGGGACGAUUAAAGUAUUUAACCCUAUAAAUUAUGAUAAAAUCUUAAUUAUUUAAUAUCUAUAAAAAAUAUAAAAUGAAAUUUUCAUCCUCUGACUCUUUUCCAGUGGCUGCAGUUUUGUGCUUACCCCCUAUUGUGUCUAUCUGUUUCAAAUUUGCAAUUCUUCACUACACUCAAAACCUGCUCUCUGACACAAAAAAAAAAAAAAAAAUUCCCUCCCAACAUUCUGUUAUCUUCCACCAUGGCCACCACCACCAUCACAACAACAACAACAGAGCGAGACAUCUCACGUGCUUCCCGCAUGCACGACUACACCACCACAGACGAUGAAGACGAAGAUGUCGUUGAAGACAGCGAGGAGGACAACCAAGAAGAAAGAGNNNNNNNN
This 893-nucleotide long non-coding RNA is filed under the name Lotus japonicus. RNAcentral's name for it is "long non-coding RNA (LJAP_LNC000589)". The record is from RNAcentral. Lineage: Eukaryota; Viridiplantae; Streptophyta; Magnoliopsida; Fabales; Fabaceae.